This 620-nucleotide long non-coding RNA is filed under the name Heterocephalus glaber (naked mole-rat). Its description in RNAcentral is "lncRNA (ENSHGLG00000043006.1)". Lineage: Eukaryota; Metazoa; Chordata; Mammalia; Rodentia; Bathyergidae. The record is from RNAcentral.
GGCUUCGCUCUCCCGCGGUCUGGUCGUGCUGCGCGGGGUCUCGGCUCCCAUCACCGCCUCUGCACUGAGGGUCCCUGGAAUUCGGGUGCUCCCGCAUGAAAUGGAAGUGGAAGUACAACAUUUGCCUGAUUCUAGCUGUCAACAUUUUUAGGAAUCUAUCACCCUUCUACAUGGAGCUGAUCUGAGAUUAAAAUUCUGUGGGCAUCCAUCCAGAAAAACCAUGACAGGUUUCUGAGAGGACACAGUGGAGGAUGGAAGCCCUGGGAUGGAAAUUUCAGAAAAGCAGCUGCUGCUCCCAGAAGAACUAAAGCUGUGUGUCCACUGACAAAGAAAGGAGGGGACUCAGUCAAUUAUUUGGAAAAUCUGAGACAAGCCUGUACUGCACAACGCACAUGAGGAUGCAGGGCUGCUCCAGGGAUCGAACUCAGGACCUUGUGCUUGCAAAGCAGGCUCGGAGCCACUGCUGAGCUAAAUCCCCAGCCCUGAAUUAUUCUAUCUUUAAAGCAAGAAAUCCCACUGAACUUCUUUCCUCAACUUUGCAUUUGGUACCAAGAAACUAAGUUCUUCAAUUAUUUGUAUAUCUUGUUCAUGAAGCAUCAUCUAAUUUGAGAGGAAGGAGC